This 366-nucleotide RNase P RNA is filed under the name Actinomyces sp. RNAcentral's name for it is "RNase P RNA component class A". It matches the Rfam family "Bacterial RNase P class A". Rfam says of the family: Ribonuclease P (RNase P) is a ubiquitous endoribonuclease, found in archaea, bacteria and eukarya as well as chloroplasts and mitochondria. Its best characterised activity is the generation of mature 5'-ends of tRNAs by cleaving the 5'-leader elements of precursor-tRNAs. The record is from RNAcentral. Lineage: Bacteria; Bacillati; Actinomycetota; Actinomycetes; Actinomycetales; Actinomycetaceae.
UCUGUCGGCUGGGCGGCCGCGCGCGGAAACGCUCGAGGAACGUCCGGGCUCCACAGGGCAGGGUGAUGGCUAACAGCCACCCGGGGUAACCCGAGGGAUAGUGCCACAGAAAACAAACCACCUCCACGAUUCGUGGCGGUAAGGGUGAAAAGGUGAGGUAAGAGCUCACCAGCGGCGCGGGUGACCGCGUCGGCUCGGUAAACCCCACCCGGAGCAAGACCGAGCAGCAGGCAGGGCGGCCCGCCCAAUGCCUGCGGGUAGGUUGCUGGAGGCCGUUGGUAACGACGGUCCUAGAUAGAUGGUCGCCACCGCGAGACCGGUAACGGUGCGCGGGGACAGAACCCGGCGUAUAGGCCGACAGAUCCA